RNAcentral lists this transfer RNA (87 nucleotides) under Candidatus Nomurabacteria bacterium. RNAcentral describes it as "tRNA-Leu". It matches the Rfam family "tRNA". From Rfam's summary of the family: Transfer RNA (tRNA) molecules are approximately 80 nucleotides in length. Lineage: Bacteria; Candidatus Nomuraibacteriota. The record is from RNAcentral. RNAcentral also lists the same sequence under 1 other name.
GCCGGGGUGGCGGAACUGGUAGACGCGCCGGACUCAAAAUCCGGUGAGAUUUAUCUCAUGAGAGUUCGAGUCUCUCCCUCGGCACCA